CAAUAGCGUAUAUUAAAGUUGUUGCAGUUAAAAAGCUCGUAGUUGGAUUUCUGGUAGGAGCGACCGUGCCGAACUUGAUUGUUCGAGUAUUGUGUUGUCUUCAGCCAUCCUCGUGGAGAACUUUUCUAACAUUAACUUGUUGGGAUUGGGACCCGCGUCGUUUACUGUGAAAAAAUUAGAGUGUUUAAAGCAGGCAUUAGCUUGAAUACAUUAGCAUGGAAUAAUAAGAUAGGACUUUGGUACUAUUUUGUUGGUUUGCAUACCAAAUUAAUGAUCAACAGGAACAGUUUGAGGAUAUUCGUAUGAACAUGUCAGAGGUGAAAUUCUUGGAUUUUGAUCAGACGAACUACUGCAAAAGCAUUUAUCAAGGAUGUUUUCAUUAA
Molecule: ribosomal RNA, 383 nt
Filed under: uncultured eukaryote
Lineage: Eukaryota
Description: partial 18S ribosomal RNA
Rfam family: Eukaryotic small subunit ribosomal RNA
Source: RNAcentral